This 376-nucleotide ribosomal RNA is filed under the name uncultured bacterium. Its description in RNAcentral is "bacterial SSU rRNA". It matches the Rfam family "Bacterial small subunit ribosomal RNA", at positions 524 to 898 of the family's 1533-position model. The record is from RNAcentral.
GACAGAGGGUGCAAACGUUGUUCGGAAUUACUGGGCGUAAAGCGCGUGUAGGCUGCCUCGAAAGUCAGGUGUGAAAGCCCUGGGCUCAACCCAGGAAGUGCACUUGAAACUUCGAGGCUCGAGUUCUGGAGAGGAUGGCGGAAUUCUCGGUGUAGAGGUGAAAUUCGUAGAUAUCGAGAGGAACACCGGUGGCGAAGGCGGCUAUCUGGACAGUGACUGACGCUGAGACGCGAAAGCGUGGGGAGCAAACAGGAUUAGAUACCCUGGUAGUCCACGCCGUAAACGAUGGGUGCUAGGUGUCGCGGGCUUUGACCCCUGCGGUGCCGUAGCUAACGCAUUAAGCACCCCGCCUGGGGAGUACGGCCGCAAGGCUAAA